Molecule: long non-coding RNA, 2537 nt
Organism: Homo sapiens (human)
Lineage: Eukaryota; Metazoa; Chordata; Mammalia; Primates; Hominidae
Gene: RALY-AS1
Product: RALY antisense RNA 1
Source: Ensembl
GGUGGGCGGGGCCUGGAGAUGGCGCUCAAAUCUGCAGGCUGUGGGCGGUGCAGGAGGGAUCCGGAAGAGACGAGGCAGGAAGAAACUCCUGGUCCUUUCGCUUUUAAGGAACGUGCCACCUAGACAAGUGUUCCAGCCUCCGGUGAACCAGUCUUCCUAGUGAGAGCACGAGAAGCCCGUUGUCCUUCAUUCCUCAGCUAUGGAUUUCCCUGAAAGUUGAGAACUGACCAUAUUCUCGAUGCCUCCUCCGACCUGUGAUUUCAUGACUCACAUCGCUUCCCCAGAACCUGCUUAACAGACGGGAUUCCUGAGAAUGGAGCAGAGUUUGAAUUCAGAGUCCUGGCUUUGCCAUACCAGCAGUUAUAAUUGUCCUUCUGUUGUUUGAUGACCUCCCUGCCCUGCUUCAAAAGGAAGAGAAAUCAAAGAGUUGACGACCCUGAGCGCAAGGCCUGGGACGUUCUUCCCCAAACUCGCUUUAAUAUCACCUUCUCAAAAGAACUCUUCCCUGAACACCUUGUCUCAAGAUGUUCUCUAGUUUGUCUUCUUGUUCUGUCAUUUAUUUGUCUGUUCAUUGUUUGUGUGUUUUUUGAGGCGGAGUCUAGCUCUGUCGCCUAGGCUGGAGUGCAGUGGCACGAUCUCGGCUCUCUGCAACCUCUGCCUCCUGGGUUCAAAGCGAUUCUUGUACCUCAGCCUCCCAAGUAGCUGGGAUUACAGGCGUGUACCACCAUGCCCGGCUAAUUUUUGUAUUUUCAGUGGAUACGGGGUUUCAUCAUGUUGGCCAAGCUGGGCUCUAACUCCUGACCUCAGGGGAUCUGCAUUUGAGGAUAAACCCUGUCUUGGCUCCUCCCUGACGGGGGUGAGAAGUAGCCCUCCUGGAAUUGCCUCAAAGCCCCCGGUUAUCACCAGUGUUCUCGGUUGCAAAUUACGAAACAUAAAUAAACUCAGACUAACAGAUGCAGCAAAGGAAUUUAUCAGGAAGGAAUGGGGAGCUCCCAGAACUGAUGGGAAGGCUGGAGAACCAGGCUCAGAAAAUGCACUGAAGUGGUGAGCGCAGAGGCUUGAAUGUUGCCAGGACUCUCCUCCCAGUCCUUUAUCUCUUCUCUCUGUAUGCGAGCUUUUCUCCUCAAGGCUAGGCACCUGGCUGCAGCAGCGCUCACCACUCACAACUCUCACCCGUUCCACCGGAGAGAGACUGAGGAUUUCUGCUUCUGGUCUGAAGGACAAAAUUUUAGGGAAAAACUUUGAUUGGUCCAACAUAGGUAAGUCCCCGUCCCUAGACCAAUCAUCUAUGGGUGGAAAACCAGGUGCUGUGACUGGCCCAACUUAAGCCAGGUGCCAUUCUCUAACCAAUACUGUGAAUAAGGAAGUGGGACGUACAGGGAGAUGGCAGCCCCAUCGGAACCAUAUGGUCAGAGAAAGAUGCAUUUCCCAAAAGAUGGAGUUCAUGCUCUGGGGCAGAUUGAAUAAUAGAUUUUCACUACACCUGCCCCAGAGUUACCCCCAACCAAUACAUUACUUACUGCCCAACUCUCAUCAUUCCUUCUCUGCUCAAAACCCUUCAAUGGGCUGGGCGCGGUAACUCACGCCUGUAAUCCCAGUACUUUGGGAGACCGAGGUGGGGGGGAUUACUUGAGGUCAGGAGUUCAAGACCGGCCUGGGCAACAUGGUGAAACCCCAUCUCUACUAAAAAUAUAAAAAUUAACCGGGCGUGGUGGCAGGCACCUGUAAUCCCAGCUACUCAGGAGGCUGAGGUGGGGUAAUCGCUUGAACCUGGGAGGUGGAGGUUGCAGUGAGCCGAGAUCAUGCCACUGCACUCCAGCCUGAGACACAGAGAGAGACUCCGCCUCAAAAACAGAAAAACAAAAAACAACCUUCAAUAGCCUCCCAUUGCCAUGUCAUCAGCAUGGAUCAAAAACUCAAAUGUCAUGCCGGGCACAGUGGCUCAUUCCUUUAAUCCCAGAAUUCUGGGAGGCUGAGGCAGGAGGAUUGCUUGAACCCAGGAGUUUGAGACCAGCUUGGGCAACAUAGUGAGACCCUGUCUCUACAAAAAAAAAAAUUUUAAUUAGCUGGCAUGGUAGCAUGUGCCUGUACUUCCAGCUACUUGGGAGGCUGAGGCCAGAGGAUCACUUGAGCCCAGGAGGCCAAGGCUACAGUGAGACAUGCUCACACCACUGCAUCCAGCCUAGGCAACAGAGUGAGACCCUUCUCAAAACAAAUAACAACAACAGCAAACCCUCAGGUGUCUACAGGGGCUAGAAAGAAGGUUAGGCAUGAGACAAUAGGGAGUGGAGAGCACUGUCAUGAACUGGAGGAUGUGUGUUGCAUACUGUUCCUAGAAUGCAGGUGCUGAGAUGUAGGAUUCUUCAAGAGAGCCCCCAAAUCUGGAUUUUCAUAUAAAAUCUCCCAAUUUCUAAAUGUUGGCUCAACUAUUUUUAAAAACCCUGUGCAAGCCAAAUGAAUUAUGUCUGCAGGCCAAUUACUGUAGGCUGUGGUCUAAAAAUGAGCAAUCUCUGACCUUUAUAGGAUAAAGCCUAUAA